Long non-coding RNA from Oxyura jamaicensis (ruddy duck), 753 nucleotides. RefSeq lists it as uncharacterized. The record is from RefSeq and is a predicted model, not a curated record. Lineage: Eukaryota; Metazoa; Chordata; Aves; Anseriformes; Anatidae. The transcript is spliced from 4 exons.
UACGCUUUCUUCUUGGGAAAGGCAACAAUAUUACAUGUUUUGUAGUUGCUGCUGUUUCUAGUGACAGGUACCUCACAGUCUGUUUUGUUAAAAAGGAGUACCAAGUUCAGUGGUCCCAUGAAAGAGCAUUGUUAUACAGAGAGGAUGUUGGCAGAGUCCAACCUUCCAUGCUGACAACUGUCGGUAAGAUAGUACUGCCUCUCAGAUCAAGUGAAAACAUAAGUAUCAGCUUUUUGCCAGAAUCACAGCAAAAGAGGAAGAAGGAUAUAGGGAAAGGAAAUACUACAAUGGGUUCUGCUGCUACUAACAAUUUUCCUUCCAUUCACAAAGUAUAAGUCUUAAAGCCCAUUAACCUGUGGAUGACCUGACUCAAGGUUCACUGGAACCCAGGGGAAUCUUCCAGUGGUUUCAUUGUUAACUGUAGUACAUUCAGCAUUUAUCAGACAUCAGGAAAGAGAAGGAAAGGAAUUUUUCUCACAGGCCUUAAUGGAGAUGCUAUUUUAGAAAAUGUAGAACUUUAAUGAUGAAAUGUCAACAUAAUUCCUAAAAUUGGAUAUGAAGAGAUAUACAAAGCAAAAAGGAAGUCAAGUGAAACUUAAGUGAAACACAGUCUAAAGCAGAAGGAGCAACUUGUCUAGAAUAACUCCUGUUUGCUUCAUUGGCAGUAUGUGAAAUACCCAGCACAUUCUGUGAUGUUUGCUUUCUUAUAUUCUUGGCUUGUCACAAAAGCAGUGUGUGAACUGGGUUUCUGGA